UAAAAAUUGUUCCAGCAAACUUUCUUUCCUUCUUCUCGUUCCUUCUCAUCAUCAGAUUUGGAAAAUUGGUUCGAGCGAUUAUGUCGCAUAAUGUAACAAGCAGGCGGAUUGGCAAGCGGACCGGGGGAAUUAUUAAAUCGGCUACGCUCUCGGGGAGCGCGGUGGUGGUGGAGAAUAUUUCAACCGGGUUACCUUGAAAAAUAUUUGUCAUGAGUGAGCGUGCUCGUGCGUGUUCUCGGAUACACGAGAAACUGGGCCGGCUGCCUAACUUCUAGCCGACCUUUCUAUUAUCGGAUCCCUAUCAGAUAUCAUCAUUAUUGAGGAAACUUUAUUGGCCACCGAAAUAUCCGCGGCCGCGAAAUAAAUUGUCGCACGUGCGACAAGGGCCGACUCAUCCGCUUUGUCACGUUUAACGAAUGCGUUAAUGAGCGAUUAACGAGCGUUAAGAUCCAUCGAAUCACGGCGCGUGAAAUUCGAUCGCGUGUGUCGAAUCGAUCCUUGCUUUCGUUGUUCGAGACAAGUCGAGAACUUUGUCAAAGAUGGAUGGAGGUUAUGUCGACCAACUAGAUUGUAUCAUAUUAAAUCGAGAUAAUAAUAAGAUUUUGAACGAUUUUGGAAUUUAUUUGAUUGAAUGGGAAAAAAGGAAAUGGAAGCUCAAUAAAUACACGUCUCUCGUAUGUUUGAUCGAAAAGUACUAUUUUUUUAUCAUCCAAUUUAAAAUUAGAAAGAUAUGUUAAAUAAGAUUGAUACAUCUAAUGGAGAAGAAAAUGCAUAUGAUCGAAAGAGGAGAAGAAAAUAUUUGUUUAACAACAGGAUCCGCAAUAGGAUUAUUUAAUAGAACGCAGAUUCCAGCGAGGGGGAUUAAAAAUUUACAACGCGCUGAACCGAACGAUUAAUUCUGGCGAAUAUUCACCAGAAUGUUACAUCGUAAAGGCCGACCAACAAUGGUUAGACUAAUUAAGCCAGGUGUUCGAUAACGGCGGCAACAAAGUGGACGAAAUUGCAUCAAAAUUAGGAUGCCGAGUGUGCCGUUGGAAAUUGAAAUUGAAGAUUGUCCAAGUAUUAUUGGCAGACUGGUUUCUGGUGAAUAAUGAAUCUCUAUAUUUAACUACACGCGAGUGAGGAGCGCGUAAACGUAAAAGAAUACAGAAGCGCUUUCUUCGAUGAUCGUGAGAUUUGAAGGGAAUCGUGUUUCCUUUCCUCUCCUUUCCUUUCUCGCGAAAAUUUUAAUAUUGGAAUUAUCUAGGAAUCUAGGGAUCCCUAGAUUUUUCUUUUUUUCUUUUAUCGGAUCAUUAUCGAAAAUUGUCAAAUUCGUUUCGCCAGACGGAAUGGAUUUUGCGCAUAAAUUUUCCAGGACGAUAAAUUCGAUCAGCCAAAAUUCAAUGGCGACUCGGCCGCAUAUUUCAUCGAGAUUGAUAGGCAAACCCGGCACUGGAAGUUGCGUCGUAAAUCUCGCGAUAAUUAACUCCGGUGAACUGCACCAAAAUUCUUAUGAUCUCGCAAACUUCUUGCGCGAUAUUAAUUCUCUCUUAUUGGACUGCAGCUUGGAAACUUUAUAUUUUAACGUUUGACGGGACGAAAUAUUAGAAAAAAAUUAAAAUUUAAUC
RNAcentral lists this long non-coding RNA (1607 nucleotides) under Apis mellifera (honey bee). RNAcentral describes it as "uncharacterized LOC102655302". Lineage: Eukaryota; Metazoa; Arthropoda; Insecta; Hymenoptera; Apidae. The record is from RNAcentral.